RNAcentral lists this ribosomal RNA (490 nucleotides) under uncultured bacterium. RNAcentral describes it as "partial 16S ribosomal RNA". It matches the Rfam family "Bacterial small subunit ribosomal RNA", at positions 30 to 507 of the family's 1533-position model. The record is from RNAcentral.
AUUGAACGCUGUCGGCAGGCCUAACACAUGCAAGUCGAACGGUAACAGGAAGAAGCUUGCUUCUUUGCUGACGAGUGGCGGACGGGUGAGUAAUGUCUGGGAAACUGCCUGAUGGAGGGGGAUAACUACUGGAAACGGUAGCUAAUACCGCAUAACGUCGCAAGACCAAAAAGGGGGACCUUCGGGCCUCUUGCCAUCGGAUGUGCCCAGAUGGGAUUAGCUAGUAGGUGGGGUAACGGCUCACCUAGGCGACGAUCCCUAGCUGGUCUGAGAGGAUGACCAGCCACACUGGAACUGAGACACGGUCCAGACUCCUACGGGAGGCAGCAGUGGGGAAUAUUGCACAAUGGGCGCAAGCCUGAUGCAGCCAUGCCGCGUGUAUGAAGAAGGCCUUCGGGUUGUAAAGUACUUUCAGCGGGGAGGAAGGGAGUAAAGUUAAUACCUUUGCUCAUUGACGUUACCCGCAGAAGAAGCACCGGCUAACUCCGUG